AAAUUUCUCUAGAGGGCAUGGGCAACAGUACUAGGAGGCAGCGUCUCAGCGGAACUCUCCUGCUAUCGCAGUUUAGUUAGUGUGUACAUUCAUUUUAGAGCUGAGACUUCACUGAUAUCCAACCCUCUGCUUAGUAUCCCAGAAACCCAGAAAAAAUGGAGAACUUGAUGGUAUCCAUGAUUUCUAAACCCCCUGUGCCGAUCAUGAACACACAAGACACUCUAUCAAAAUUCUCACCAAAAAAUACAUCUUCAAUUUCCUCCUCCGUAAAACCCCACCCAAGAAUCACAGAUUCACAUUUGAAUUACCUCUGCAAAAAUGGUCGCUUGAGUGAGGCCGUAACGGCUCUUGAAUCCAUAGCUCAACAUGGGUCCAAGGUAAGACCCAAAACCUUCAUCAAUUUACUCCAGUCCUGCAUUGAUUCAAAUUCUGUUACUCUGGGCCGCCAGGUUCAUGCCCAUAUUAAUUUGGUGGAAGAAAUAACCCCAUUUCUCGAGACCAAGUUAGUUAGUAUGUAUGCUAAAUGUGGCUCCUUAAGGGAUGCACGUAAACUAUUUGAUGAAACGCGGGAGAAAAACUUGUAUACAUGGUCGGCGAUCAUCGGUGCGUACUGCAGAGAGCACAGGUGGAAGGAGGUUGUGGGGUUCUUUUAUAUGAUGAUGGAAUGCAAUUGUGUACCUGACGGAUUUUUGUUGCCUAAGAUAUUGCAGGCAUGUGGGAAUUGUAGGGAUAUUGAGACGGGGGAAUUGGUAUAUUCUUUGGCGGUCAAAUGUGGAGUGGAUAGUUUCCCAUUUGUUAAUAAUUCGAUUUUGGCUGUGUAUUCAAAGUGUGGGAAGUUGAGUUUGGCAAGGAGGUGUUUUGAGAGCAUGGAAAAAAGAGAUAGAGUGGCUUGGAAUACUGUGAUAUCUGGGUAUUGCCAAAUUGGUGAGAUUGAGGAAGCUCAAAGGUUGUUUGAUGCAAUGUAUGAAGAAGGGAUCAAGCCAUGUUUAGUAACUUGGAAUACACUGAUAGCUGGUUAUAAUCAGAUAGGUUUUUGUGACGUUGCAAUGGAAUUGAUGAAGAAAAUGGAGAGUUUUGGGAUAAAUCCUGAUGUUGUCACCUGGACAUCAAUGAUCUCAGGUUUUGCUCAAAACAAUAGGAAAAAUAAGGCACUGGAUUUGUUGAAUAAGAUGAUUUUUGCUGGGGUUGAACCCAAUGGAGUUACCAUUUCCAGUGCAGUUUCAGCCUGUGCAUCUUUACAAGUAUUAAAUCAAGGGUUAGAAAUUCAUGCACUUGCUGUUAAGAUGGGUUUUGCUGAUGAUGUGCUAGUUGGAAAUUCACUCAUCGAAAUGUAUUCGAAGUGUGGGGAAUGGGAAGCUGCUUGGAAGGUCUUUGAUGCAAUAUCAGAGCAGGAUAUUUAUAGUUGGAACUCAAUGAUUGGAGGAUAUUGUCAAGCUGGGUAUUGUGGUAAAGCCAAUGUGCUCUUUAUGAAAAUGCAAAAAUCUGAAAUACAACCUAACGUCAUCACGUGGAAUAAUAUGAUAUCUGGAUAUAUACAAAAUGGAGAUGAGGAUCGAGCCAUGGAUCUCUUUCAGAGGAUGGAAAAAGAUGGGAAGAUAAAGCGCGAUACUGCAUCGUGGAACUCUCUUAUUUCUGGUUAUUUGAAAAUUGGACAAAAGGACAAGGCAUUGAGCAUAUUUCGACAAAUGCAGUCUUGUAGCAUUAGUCCCAAUUCUGUCACCAUUUUAAGUGUCUUACCAGCUUGUGCAAGUUUAGUUACUCUAAAAAAGGUAAAAGAGAUCCAUGGUUGUGUAUUGCGCAGAAAUCUAGAAUCUGUACUCUCUAUUUCAAAUUCACUGAUUGACACUUAUGCCAAAUCAGGGAACAUAGGAUAUUCAAGAACCGUAUUUGGUGGAAUGUUAUCCAAAGAUUUCAUUACCUGGAACUCACUGAUUGGCGGUUAUGUUUUAUUUGGUUGUUCAGAUGCUGCCCUUGAUCUUGUUGAUCAGAUGAUAACGCUGGGACUGAAGCCGAACAGAAGUACUUUUGUGAGUAUUAUCCUUGCACACAGUCUUGCUGGAAUGGUGGAUGAGGGGGAGCAAGCUUUCUCUAGCAUGAUUAACGACCAUCAAAUUAUACCAUCUUUAGAACAUUAUUUAGCUAUGAUACAUUUGUAUGGUCGUUCUGGUAAGCUCAAAGAGGCAAUGGAAUUUAUUGAGAAUAUGCCAAUCAAGCCUGACUUCUCUAUUUGGCUUGCCUUGCUAAAUGCUUGUUUCAUUCAUGGCAAUUUUGGCUUGGCAAUCCAUGCAGGGGAGAGUUUACUUGAUUUGGAACCAGUGAAUUCUAUGAUCCAGCAGUUAGUUUUGCAGGCAUACACUUUAUGUGGAAAACCUGGAGAUGCCUCAAAAGUGAAAAGAUUUGAGAAAGAUAACAAAGUACCAAAACUUAUUGGACAUAGCUGGAUUGAAGUAAAAAAUGUCGUGCAUUCUUUUGUUGCAGGUGAUGGGUCUAAAUCAUACUCAGACCACCUAUUUUCUUGGGUUGAAAGCAUAUCAAAAGAAGUGAAGGCAUUUGAUCUACAUUGCGGGGUUUGCAUCGAGGAAGAAGAGAGAGAAGAAAUUAUUGGCGUGCAUAGUGAAAAACUUGCAUUAGCUCUUGCCUUUGUUUGUGCACCUUCUGUUCCUCGAAGUAUAAGAAUUGUGAGAAACCUGAGAAUGUGUGGAGACUGCCAUAGGAUGGCUAAAUAUAUCUCUAUGAAAUAUGGUUGUGAGAUAUAUUUGAGUGACUCAAAGUGCUUCCACCAUUUUAAAUCUGGGCAUUGUUCCUGUGGCGAUUAUUGGUAGGCUGAAAAAUGAUGACUAAUCUGUGAAUUGGGUGCAAGAUCAGUUCCAGUGACAACAGAGUGGCUCUCUUAGGGGAUAUGGAUAUUGUGCAAGCUGCCAUGGAUCUUGCUCUGGAUAUUCUUGCAUUUUGUACUGAAUCAACUUGUUUGGAAUUUCAAUUAAAGCCUUUGAAGAAACUAGAAGCCCUGAGCAGGUCUGCUGGCCAGAGUGGCUGACAAAGAGAGUUUCUUUUUUCAUGCCCAAGUCCAUUGUGUAGACAGGUGCAAUUACUGGUGUUUUUGAAAUGGAAGUUUACUGAUUCUGAAUGGUUUUUUACAUGGGUAUUUUGAUCAGAUAGCUUUUGAUCAUGUCACAGCCAGACUCGAAAUAGUUGGCAACCAGAUCAAGAAUUUUCGGAGUGCCUACUGUUUAUGGUCAUCAAACACAUUACUUUAAACAACACAGAAAUCUGUGCCUUUGGGAACACUGGCAAGGAACAUUAUCGUUCUCAAGCGGGCUCGAUGCAGUGGACUGCAUGAUGAGGCAAACCUUCAAUCAUGGAGAGGUAAAACAUAGGCAAAAAAUAUUCUAGUUCCCAGUUUGUAUGAAAGUUUUUUUCACAAGCUCUUUAUAUAUUGGUUUACCGUGAAUUUUUAGGAGUAAUAUAUUCUGAUGAAAAAAAAUGUUUGAAGAGCUAGAAUUUUCUAUGUAUUUAUGCAUUCAGCAAUUUAUAUGUCAAUCAGAUGCAACCUGUUGCUGAUGUUACAGUUUGGACAUUUCUUACCAUUUAACUCUCUGUGCUGGCCUCAUGUUUGUUCAAUGGA
RNAcentral lists this unclassified non-coding RNA (3625 nucleotides) under Hevea brasiliensis (rubber tree). The record is from RNAcentral. Lineage: Eukaryota; Viridiplantae; Streptophyta; Magnoliopsida; Malpighiales; Euphorbiaceae.